RNAcentral lists this transfer RNA (82 nucleotides) under Bacteroidales bacterium. RNAcentral describes it as "tRNA-Leu". It matches the Rfam family "tRNA". Rfam says of the family: Transfer RNA (tRNA) molecules are approximately 80 nucleotides in length. Their secondary structure includes four short double-helical elements and three loops (D, anti-codon, and T loops). Further hydrogen bonds mediate the characteristic L-shaped molecular structure. tRNAs have two regions of fundamental functional importance: the anti-codon, which is responsible for specific mRNA codon recognition, and the 3' end, to which the tRNAs corresponding amino acid is attached (by aminoacyl-tRNA synthetases). tRNAs cope with the degeneracy of the genetic code in two manners: having more than one tRNA (with a specific anti-codon) for a particular amino acid; and 'wobble' base-pairing, i.e. permitting non-standard base-pairing at the 3rd anti-codon position. Lineage: Bacteria; Pseudomonadati; Bacteroidota; Bacteroidia; Bacteroidales. The record is from RNAcentral.
GCGCGUGUGGCGUAAUUGGUAGCCGCGUUAGACUUAGGAUCUAAUGACACAUGUCGUGCGGGUUCGAGUCCCGCCAUGCGCA